Molecule: non-coding RNA, 570 nt
Organism: Camelina sativa (false flax)
Lineage: Eukaryota; Viridiplantae; Streptophyta; Magnoliopsida; Brassicales; Brassicaceae
Source: RefSeq, a predicted model, not a curated record
UUUCUUUCUAUUACACAAAUUUAUUUGUAAGGUAUCCAAAUAAAAACCGCUGAAAUAUGUAUUUCUACAGGGCAUUGGAGGUGUGAUUGGGUACCACGUGACAUGGCUCGUAAACUCGGCUUGCCAUAUUGUGGGUUCGAGGUCGUGGAAGACUAAAGAUACAUCUCGUAACGUUUGGUGGCUUAGCAUAUUUACAAUGGGAGAGAGUUGGCACAACAAUCACCACGCGUUUGAGUCAUCGGCGAGACAAGGAUUAGAGUGGUGGCAAAUAGAUAUCACUUGGUAUCUCAUUAGACUACUUGAGGUUCUCGGAUUGGCCACUGAUGUCAAAUUGCCCUCGGAAUUCCAGAAACAGAAAUUGGCUCUGAUUCGUUGAUAUCUGAAAAUAUCAUCAAAAAAAUAUAAUUAUGUACUUGUUAUAUAAACAAAAUAACCGAAGUUCAACUAUAAGAGAGUAUAAUUAAUAUUAAAGAGAGAUUUAUAUCUAUAUAAUAUAUAAAUAUAAAUAUGGUUGCAAUUAGCCUUGUAUUGUGUGAUCAUUAUUAUAUCGAAGCAAAAGAGUUUAAUAUU